RNAcentral lists this long non-coding RNA (1197 nucleotides) under Felis catus (domestic cat). RNAcentral's name for it is "lncRNA (ENSFCAG00000047706.1)". The record is from RNAcentral. Lineage: Eukaryota; Metazoa; Chordata; Mammalia; Carnivora; Felidae.
AUAGAGAUCGCUUAAAAAUGAAAUCUUUUAUUAAAAUGUUUAUUUUUCUCGAGAGAGAGGGAGAGAGAGUUCACGCUAGAGUGGAGGAGGGGUAGAGACAGGGAGAGCGACAGAAUCCCCAGCAGGCUCUGUGCUGUCAGCACAGAGCCCGAUGUGGGGCUGGAUCUCACAAAUUGUGAGGUCACAACCUGAGCCGAGAUCAAGAGUUGGACGCUUAACCGACUGAGGCACUCAGGUGCCCUUUAAAAGUAAAAUCUUAAAAAAAAAAAAAAAAUAACAGAACAGUUUAAACAAAAGCAGUUCCACAGAGUGUUUUUUCAUACUGGAUCAUUCUUUAUCUUUUCCUGGCCCACGCUGAGUGCAGGGUUGACCUAAGGCGGCCGAGGGAGUGAAGUCACCUGCCAGCCGGACGGAGCGCUAGGACGAGAGGAGGGCCACCUAGAGGUGUUCCAGAAAGGCCAGCAGAGAGGGUUCCCCCCGGACCAGCGAGACGUUAGUCCCCGAGGGCUCCAGACACUCGGCCUCAGUACACAGGUCACCAGCGAUACUGGCGCUCGGAACUUGGCUGAGGACACCAGGAAAGGCGUCCACAACCAGAGAGUAUCCAUCGGCAGUGCCUGGAGCCGGGGAAGCACAGGGGAGCAAGGCCCUUCCCAGGGACCCCCCGGGAGGGCGGGACACCACCAGGAAGCCACCGCCACGUCCCCGAGGAAGGCAGGAAGGCGGGCCUUGCGCUAAGGUGGCUCUUACUUCCCGCGGGACCUGUGACUGAUUUCAGCAAGCCGGCCCAGCUCUGGUGUCCUCAGGUUGUCCUCCCGCGGCGCCCCCUGCCCUCCGUUCGCUGGAGGACAGCCGUCCCCACCCCAACCGCCCGGGAAGCUGUUUCCACCUGCCACACUUUCACUCGCCAGCCCACCCAGGCCAGCGGGAUCUCUGGAAUCCCAGACCAUCAGAGCGGGGCCGCAGGGGAGCAUCGGCCUGUGAUUUUGUGGCUGGGGUUCCAGGAACCCACACAUAGAAUCUGCUUGGAGAACACAGUGCGGCUGCCGCUGAAAAUCCCGAGAAGAUGGGGCCCAUUGUUAUGAGUGAUUCACUUUCCUGUUCUUUCUCCCAAACACGCGGACAGAUCCACUUGGAACUUGUGUUUCUUUGUUGUUGUUUAAUAAAGCAGCAAUCAUAUACCGUGUGAGAUAAUGG